UUGACCUCGGAUCAGGUAGGAGUUACCCGCUGAACUUAAGCAUAUCAAUAAGCGGAGGAAAAGAAACCAACCGGGAUUGCCUCAGUAACGGCGAGUGAAGCGGCAAGAGCUCAAAUUUGAAAUCUGGCCCCCUCGGGGUCCGAGUUGUAAUUUGCAGAGGAUGCUUCGGGUGCGGUCCCCAUCUAAGUGCCCUGGAACGGGCCGUCAUAGAGGGUGAGAAUCCCGUCUGGGAUGGGCGGCCGCGCCCGUGUGAAGCUCCUUCGACGAGUCGAGUUGUUUGGGAAUGCAGCUCUAAGCGGGUGGUAAAUUUCAUCUAAAGCUAAAUACUGGCCGGAGACCGAUAGCGCACAAGUAGAGUGAUCGAAAGAUGAAAAGCACUUUGAAAAGAGAGUUAAACAGCACGUGAAAUUGUUGAAAGGGAAGCGUUGUCCACCAGACUCGCCCGGGGGGGUUCAGCCGGCACGUGUGCCGGUGUACUCCUCUCCGGGCGGGCCAGCAUCGGUUUGGGCGGCUGGUGAAAGGCCCCGGGAAUGUACCACCCUCCGGGGUGUCUUAUAGCCCGGGGUGCCAUACAGCCAGCCUGGACCGAGGCCCGCGCUCGGCGAGGAUGCGGC
This 614-nucleotide ribosomal RNA is filed under the name Talaromyces funiculosus. Its description in RNAcentral is "eukaryotic LSU rRNA". It matches the Rfam family "Eukaryotic large subunit ribosomal RNA", at positions 1 to 629 of the family's 3401-position model. Lineage: Eukaryota; Fungi; Ascomycota; Eurotiomycetes; Eurotiales; Trichocomaceae. The record is from RNAcentral.